GCUGGGCGUGGUGGCGCAUGCCUGUAAUCCCAGCUACUCGGGAGGCUGAGGCAGAAGAAUCACUUGAACCCAGGAGGUGGAGGUUGCAGUGAGCCGAGAUUGCACCACUACACUCCAGCCUGGGCAACAGAGUGAGCCUCUGUCUCCA
This is a non-coding RNA of Homo sapiens (human), 148 nucleotides long. It matches the Rfam family "Metazoan signal recognition particle RNA". From Rfam's summary of the family: The signal recognition particle (SRP) is a universally conserved ribonucleoprotein. It is involved in the co-translational targeting of proteins to membranes. The record is from Rfam. Lineage: Eukaryota; Metazoa; Chordata; Mammalia; Primates; Hominidae.